UGUAUGACGUGUUCUUAAUUCUGUGUGACGCGUUUCUUGUUUCAAGGAGAGGCAAUCUACAGGAAAUAACCCUUCUCAUUUGUAAU
Long non-coding RNA from Alosa sapidissima (American shad), 86 nucleotides. RefSeq lists it as uncharacterized. The record is from RefSeq and is a predicted model, not a curated record. NCBI's taxonomy places the organism in Eukaryota, Metazoa, Chordata, Actinopteri, Clupeiformes, Clupeidae. The transcript has 3 exons.